AUUCUAACUUGGCGCCGGGUUCAGGGUGAUCAAGAAUGCUCUGACCCCGAGUGGAGGCUCACCAUUGCACCUCGGUGGGUUGAAACUCACGACGGACCAUAAUCGGGUGCGCUCGGGCGUGUAGUUUUUGUCAGUGGGGAGGCCUCACGGUCCUCCUAU
Molecule: non-coding RNA, 159 nt
Organism: Trichobilharzia regenti
Lineage: Eukaryota; Metazoa; Platyhelminthes; Trematoda; Strigeidida; Schistosomatidae
Source: Rfam